UGGGGAAUUUUGGACAAUGGGCGCAAGCCUGAUCCAGCAAUGCCGCGUGCAGGAUGAAGGCCUUCGGGUUGUAAACUGCUUUUGUACGGAACGAAAAGGCUCUGGCUAAUACCUGGGGCACAUGACGGUACCGUAAGAAUAAGCACCGGCUAACUACGUGCCAGCAGCCGCGGUAAUACGUAGGGUGCGAGCGUUAAUCGGAAUUACUGGGCGUAAAGCGUGCGCAGGCGGUUUUGUAAGACAGAGGUGAAAUCCCCGGGCUCAACCUGGGAACUGCCUUUGUGACUGCAAGGCUGGAGUGCGGCAGAGGGGGGAUGGAAUUCCGCGUGUAGCAGUGAAAUGCGUAGAUAUGCGGAGGAACACCGAUGGCGAAGGCAAUCCCCUGGGCCUGCAACCUGGACGCUCAUGCACGAAAGCGUGGUGAGCAAACAGGAUUAGAUA
This 441-nucleotide ribosomal RNA is filed under the name uncultured bacterium. Its description in RNAcentral is "partial 16S ribosomal RNA". It matches the Rfam family "Bacterial small subunit ribosomal RNA", at positions 355 to 784 of the family's 1533-position model. The record is from RNAcentral.